GGAGAUUUAGCUUAGCGGCAUAAGCGCCUGCCUUGCAAGCAGGCAGUUGUGAGUUCAAUCCCUG
This 64-nucleotide transfer RNA is filed under the name Cavia porcellus (domestic guinea pig). It matches the Rfam family "tRNA", at positions 1 to 62 of the family's 71-position model. Rfam says of the family: Transfer RNA (tRNA) molecules are approximately 80 nucleotides in length. Their secondary structure includes four short double-helical elements and three loops (D, anti-codon, and T loops). The record is from Rfam by way of RNAcentral. Lineage: Eukaryota; Metazoa; Chordata; Mammalia; Rodentia; Caviidae.